ACAGCCCAUUCUGACUCACUGGGAGGGCCACACCGAACCCCUCGCAGGCUUAGCCUGAAGGCAGACGCGGGGCGCAGGUGCUCCCGGGACCGGACCGAACCUGGGCUGGGGCUGGAUUGAUUUAUAAAUAAAGGCACAUUCGAUCCAAGAGUGCGUGUGUGCGUGCGUGUGGUUCUUGUGGGGUAGGGGAGAGCACGGAAUGGCAGGAAUGUUUCCUAACCCCUUGGCCGGGCCAUCGCGGGAGAGAUCUGCCGGCAAACUCUGGGAGCGCAA
This 273-nucleotide long non-coding RNA is filed under the name Homo sapiens (human). RNAcentral's name for it is "non-protein coding lnc-KLF9-5:2". The record is from RNAcentral. Lineage: Eukaryota; Metazoa; Chordata; Mammalia; Primates; Hominidae.